AGCGAACGUUUGCGGCGGGCUUAACACAUGCAAGUCGAACGAGAAUCCCUUCGGGGAGGAAAGUGGCGCACGGGUGCGUAACACGUGGAUAACCAACCCAUUGGUUUGGGACAACACCGGGAAACUGGUGCUAAUACCAGAUGUGUCGCAGCUGUCUUCAGGCGGUUGCGAGAAAGGCCCGCAAGGGUCGCCAACGGACGGGUCCGCGUCCCAUCAGCUAGUUGGUGAGGUAAUGGCUCACCAAGGCAAAGACGGGUAGCUGGUCUGAGAGGAUGAUCAGCCACACUGGAACUGAGACACGGUCCAGACUCCUACGGGAGGCAGCAGUGGGGAAUAUUGCGCAAUGGGCGAAAGCCUGACGCAGCCACGCCGCGUGAGCGAUGAAGGUCUUCGGAUCGUAAAGCUCUGUGGGGGGAGAAGAAGAAAGCCGGUGAAGAGCCGGCCCUGACGGUAUCCCCUUAGCAAGCACCGGCUAACUCCGUGCCAGCAGCCGCGGU
This 497-nucleotide ribosomal RNA is filed under the name uncultured bacterium. Its description in RNAcentral is "bacterial SSU rRNA". It matches the Rfam family "Bacterial small subunit ribosomal RNA", at positions 29 to 521 of the family's 1533-position model. The record is from RNAcentral.